This 794-nucleotide ribosomal RNA is filed under the name Campylobacter jejuni. Its description in RNAcentral is "partial 23S ribosomal RNA". It matches the Rfam family "Bacterial large subunit ribosomal RNA", at positions 1 to 812 of the family's 2925-position model. Lineage: Bacteria; Pseudomonadati; Campylobacterota; Epsilonproteobacteria; Campylobacterales; Campylobacteraceae. The record is from RNAcentral.
AAAGGUAAGCUACUAAGAGCGAAUGGUGGAUGCCUUGACUGGUAAAGGCGAUGAAGGACGUACUAGACUGCGAUAAGCUACGGGGAGCUGUCAAGAAGCUUUGAUCCGUAGAUUUCCGAAUGGGGCAACCCAAUGUAUAGAGAUAUGCAUUACCUAUAUAGGAGCGAACGAGGGGAAUUGAAACAUCUUAGUACCCUCAGGAAAAGAAAUCAAUAGAGAUUGCGUCAGUAGCGGCGAGCGAAAGCGCAAGAGGGCAAACCCAGUGCUUGCACUGGGGGUUGUAGGACUGCAAUGUGCAAGAGGUAAGUUUAGCAGAACAUUCUGGAAAGUAUAACCAUAGAGGGUGAUAGUCCCGUAUGCGAAAAACAAACCUUAGCUAGCAGUAUCCUGAGUAGGGCGGGACACGAGGAAUCCUGUCUGAAUCCGGGUCGACCACGAUCCAACCCUAAAUACUAAUACCAGAUCGAUAGUGCACAAGUACCGUGAGGGAAAGGUGAAAAGAACUGAGGUGAUCAGAGUGAAAUAGAACCUGAAACCAUUUGCUUACAAUCAUUCAGAGCCCUAUGUAGGAAUACAGGGUGAUGGACUGCCUUUUGCAUAAUGAGCCUGCGAGUUGUGGUGUCUGGCAAGGUUAAGCAAACGCGAAGCCGUAGCGAAAGCGAGUCUGAAUAGGGCGCUUAGUCAGAUGCUGCAGACCCGAAACGAAGUGAUCUAUCCAUGAGCAAGUUGAAGCUAGUGUAAGAACUAGUGGAGGACUGAACCCAUAGGCGUUGAAAAGCCCCGGGAUGACUUGU